UGGGGAAUAUUGGACAAUGGGGGAAACCCUGAUCCAGCGACGCCGCGUGGGUGAAGAAGGCCUGCGGGUUGUAAAGCCCUUUCGGUGGGGAAGAAAAGCUUCGACCUAAUACGUCGGAGUCUUGACGUAACCCACAGAAGAAGCACCGGCUAACUCUGUG
Molecule: ribosomal RNA, 160 nt
Filed under: uncultured bacterium
Lineage: Bacteria
Description: partial 16S rRNA
Rfam family: Bacterial small subunit ribosomal RNA
Source: RNAcentral